RNAcentral lists this long non-coding RNA (834 nucleotides) under Ananas comosus (pineapple). RNAcentral's name for it is "long non-coding RNA (ACOM_LNC006129)". Lineage: Eukaryota; Viridiplantae; Streptophyta; Magnoliopsida; Poales; Bromeliaceae. The record is from RNAcentral.
UUAAAAAACAAAGUGAAAUUAUUUAUUUCCAAAUUAUCUCUAUAUAUUAGUGUGAGCUUAAUAUUGAUGUAUCGCUAAUGUAGAAAUAAUAUAAUAGUGUUAUGAUUGAUAAGCGCCAAUAAUGAAGAUAUCAGCGAUACAUUAAUAUUUAAUCAAUUAAAUUUGAUUGUAAAAUUUGAUUUCAACAAUUCUAAAAGAUCAAAUUAAAAAUUAUAAUAUGUUAAAAAUUGAGAACUAAAAUAUCACAUAUUUUAUAGUUUUUGAGAACCAAAUGUUGGCUUAAAUGGGCUAACAUCCUCUCCUGUGGCAGGAGGCCAUAUGUGGGUCUAGUCAUCUUCGAAGUAGCGUGAGGCUGGUCGGGCCAAAUCAUGUUUGAAGUGGCGUCAUAGUUAGUUAAUUCGCGAUUAAUACGCGAAUUAUUCGCGAAUUUUUAAAUAUACGAUUUAAACGGUCCGUUCCCGUAUUUUUUUGAAAUUUUUGAAAAAAAACGCGUCUUCUUCCUCAAAAUAAUUAUUCGCGAAUUAUUUGCGAUUCGCGAACGAUUCGCCCAAAAAAACGGGCGCUUGUGGUCGCAGAUUUGCAGCCGAGGGUCGCGUUGUCGCCGCUCUCGUCACCGAGCUCGUCCGAGUCGUCGUCGUCGUCCUCCGCCGCCCUGGUCGGCGCCGGGAGCAAGAGCCGUGGCGGCAGAUCCGGCCUCGUCGUCGUCCUCCUCCACCUCCAUGCCCGGCGCCGGGAGCAAGAGCAGCUGCGGCAGAUCCGCCCAAGGCCGUCAGCGGAAAAGACGAAGUGGGAUUGUAGGUAACAGUGUAAAAAUCGCGGCGUUUUGAGUUAUGC